UACGUAGGGGGCAAGCGUUGUCCGGAUUUACUGGGGGUAAAGGGUGCUCAGGUGGCUUGGAAAGUCAGUGGUGAAAUCUGAGAGCUUAACUCUCAAACUGCCAUUGAUACUUCUUAGCUUGAGUACGGAAGAGGCUGAUGGAAUUUCAGGUGUAGCAGUGAAAUGCGUAGAUAUCUGAAAGAACACCAGUGGCGAAGGCGGUCAGCUGGUCCGUUACUGACACUAAAGCACGAAAGCGUGGGUAGCAAACAGG
Molecule: ribosomal RNA, 253 nt
Filed under: uncultured bacterium
Lineage: Bacteria
Description: partial 16S ribosomal RNA
Rfam family: Bacterial small subunit ribosomal RNA
Source: RNAcentral